AGAGUUUGAUCCUGGCUCAGAGCGAACGCUGGCGGCGUGCUUAACACAUGCAAGUCAUGCGAGAAAGGGGGCUUCGGCCCCUGAGUAGAGCGGCGCACGGGUGCGUAAGACGCGGGUGACCUAUCCCCGAGGCGGGGAUAACCCUUCGAAAGAGGGGCUAAUACCGGAUGGGCCCACGAGCAGAGAUGCUUGGGGGCAAAGGGUGCUACUCAAUGGUGGCAUCCCCUCAAGGCGGGGCCCGCGGCCUAUCAGCUCGUUGGUAAGGUAAUGGCUUACCAAGGCGAAGACGGGUAGCUGGUCUGAGAGGAUGGCCAGCCACACGGGGACUGAGACACGGCCCCGACUCCUACGGGAGGCAGCAGUGGGGAAUAUUGGGCAAUGGGCGCAAGCCUGACCCAGCGACGCCGCGUGGGUGAUGAAGGCCUUCGGGUCGUAAAGCCCUGUCGGGUGGAAAGAACGAGGGGGGCGCAAAUAGCGCUUCUCUGUGACGUACCACCGAAGAAGGCCCGGA
Molecule: ribosomal RNA, 511 nt
Filed under: uncultured soil bacterium
Lineage: Bacteria
Description: bacterial SSU rRNA
Rfam family: Bacterial small subunit ribosomal RNA
Source: RNAcentral